This 646-nucleotide ribosomal RNA is filed under the name uncultured Bacillus sp. RNAcentral describes it as "bacterial SSU rRNA". It matches the Rfam family "Bacterial small subunit ribosomal RNA", at positions 8 to 638 of the family's 1533-position model. The record is from RNAcentral. Lineage: Bacteria; Bacillati; Bacillota; Bacilli; Caryophanales; Bacillaceae.
AGAGUUUGAUCAUGGCUCAGGACGAACGCUGGCGGCGUGCCUAAUACAUGCAAGUCGAGCGGAUGAUGAGGAGCUUGCUCCUCUGAUUCAGCGGCGGACGGGUGAGUAACACGUGGGCAACCUGCCUGUAAGACUGGGAUAACUUCGGGAAACCGGAGCUAAUACCGGAUAACUCUUCGAACCUCAUGGUUCGAAGAUAAAAGAUGGUUUCGGCUAUCACUUACAGAUGGGCCCGCGGCGCAUUAGCUAGUUGGUGAGGUAACGGCUCACCAAGGCGACGAUGCGUAGCCGACCUGAGAGGGUGAUCGGCCACACUGGGACUGAGACACGGCCCAGACUCCUACGGGAGGCAGCAGUAGGGAAUCUUCCGCAAUGGACGAAAGUCUGACGGAGCAACGCCGCGUGAGCGAUGAAGGCCUUCGGGUCGUAAAGCUCUGUUGUUAGGGAAGAACAAGUACCAGUUAACUGCUGGUACCUUGACGGUACCUAACGAGAAAGCCACGGCUAACUACGUGCCAGCAGCCGCGGUAAUACGUAGGUGGCAAGCGUUGUCCGGAUUUAUUGGGCGUAAAGCGCGCGCAGGCGGUUCUUUAAGUCUGAUGUGAAAGCCCCCGGCUCAACCGGGGAGGGUCAUUGGAAACUGGGG